CCUACGGGAGGCAGCAGGGAGGAAGAGGGGGAAAGGGAAGAGAGGAGGAAACAGCCAAGUAGCGUGAAGGAUGACUGCCCUAUGGGUUGUAAACUUCUUUUAUAAAGGAAUAAAACGAGGCACGUGUGCCUUUUUGCAUGUACUUUAUGAAUAAGGAUCGGCUAACUCCGUGCCAGCAGCCGCGGUAAUACGGAGGAUCCGAGCGUUAUCCGGAUUUAUUGGGUUUAAAGGGAGCGUAGAUGGGUUGUUAAGUCAGUUGUGAAAGUUUGCGGCUAAACCGUAAAAUUGCAAUUGAUACUGGCAGUCUUGAGUACAGUUGAGGUAGGCGGAAUUCGUGGUGUAGCGGUGAAAUGCUUAGAUACCACGAAGAACCCCGAUUGCGAAGGCAGAUUACUAAACUGUGACUGACAUUGAUGCUCGAAAGUGUGGGUAUCAAACAGGAUUAGAUACCCCAGUAGUC
RNAcentral lists this ribosomal RNA (460 nucleotides) under uncultured bacterium. RNAcentral's name for it is "partial 16S ribosomal RNA". It matches the Rfam family "Bacterial small subunit ribosomal RNA", at positions 338 to 795 of the family's 1533-position model. The record is from RNAcentral.